RNAcentral lists this ribosomal RNA (492 nucleotides) under uncultured bacterium. Its description in RNAcentral is "partial 16S ribosomal RNA". It matches the Rfam family "Bacterial small subunit ribosomal RNA", at positions 29 to 507 of the family's 1533-position model. The record is from RNAcentral.
AGUGAACGCUGGCGGUAGGCCUAACACAUGCAAGUCGAACGGCAGCACAGUAAGAGCUUGCUCUUACGGGUGGCGAGUGGCGGACGGGUGAGGAAUACAUCGGAAUCUACUUUUUCGUGGGGGAUAACGUAGGGAAACUUACGCUAAUACCGCAUACGACCUACGGGUGAAAGCAGGGGAUCUUCGGACCUUGCGCGAUUGAAUGAGCCGAUGUCGGAUUAGCUAGUUGGCGGGGUAAAGGCCCACCAAGGCGACGAUCCGUAGCUGGUCUGAGAGGAUGGUCAGCCACACUGGAACUUGGCCACGGUCCAUACUCCUACGGGAGGCAGCAGUGGGGUAUAUUGGACAAUGGUCGCAAGCCUGAUCCAGCCAUACCGCGUGGGUGAAGAAGGCCUUCGGGUUGUAAAGCCCCUUUGUUGGGAAAGAAAAGCAGCAGGUUAAUACCCCGCUGUUCUGACGGUACCCAAAGAAUAAGCACCGGCUAACUUCGUG